This 76-nucleotide transfer RNA is filed under the name bacterium. Its description in RNAcentral is "tRNA-Lys". It matches the Rfam family "tRNA". From Rfam's summary of the family: Transfer RNA (tRNA) molecules are approximately 80 nucleotides in length. The record is from RNAcentral.
GGGCCCUUAGCUCAGUUGGUAGAGCAACUGACUCUUAAUCAGUGGGUCGAAGGUUCAAAUCCUUCAGGGCCUACCA